Long non-coding RNA from Leopardus geoffroyi (Geoffroy's cat), 397 nucleotides. RefSeq lists it as uncharacterized. The transcript is spliced from 2 exons. NCBI's taxonomy places the organism in Eukaryota, Metazoa, Chordata, Mammalia, Carnivora, Felidae. The record is from RefSeq and is a predicted model, not a curated record.
GCCGGUGGGGGGCUGGCGCGGGGGACCCCGGGAGGGGCCUCGCGGCCCGGAUUAGGCGGCGACCGGAGACUUUGAAGGGCGCCGUGAACUUUAGCAAAUGGAUCGCCGCCAAAGGGCAGAAAAGAACAUUGAUCUACGCCUCAGUAUCACAAGGUGGUUUUGAUCUUCCGGAAACCCGAGCGGGAGUGCUGCUACGGUGUGGAGAAAAGAAUUCUACAGAUUUCUUCAGAGUUACAGCAAUACUCUUGAAAUUCCAGUGCAUCCUGUGCCCUUGGAGAGGACUUGGGGCUUCACAGUUUUAAGUUGCACAUAUUUACAAAACUUCCCACAGGGUGAAGUCCAGAGUAAAUUCAAAAUCAGCAUCUUUUAAAAUUAAGUAUAUUUCUGUUCAUUCAAA